UACGUAGGGGCCUAGCGUUGUCCGGAAUCAUUGGGCGUAAAGAGCGUGUAGGCGGCCACUUAAGUCCUGCGUGAAAUCUCGGGGCUCAACCCCGAGCGGUCGUGGGAAACUGGGUGGCUAGAGUGCGGGAGAGGAGAGUGGAAUUCCUGGUGUAGCGGUGAAAUGCGCAGAUAUCAGGAAGAACACCAGUGGCGAAGGCGGCUCACUGGAACGGAACUGACGCUGAGACGCGAAAGCGUGGGGAGCAAACAGG
Molecule: ribosomal RNA, 253 nt
Filed under: uncultured bacterium
Lineage: Bacteria
Description: partial 16S ribosomal RNA
Rfam family: Bacterial small subunit ribosomal RNA
Source: RNAcentral